GCACUGCUGAGGAGUCCCGUAAUAGGACAAAACGGCCGUCCAGUGC
Schistosoma rodhaini is the source of this 46-nucleotide non-coding RNA. NCBI's taxonomy places the organism in Eukaryota, Metazoa, Platyhelminthes, Trematoda, Strigeidida, Schistosomatidae. The record is from Rfam.